CGCCCACGGCGGCCGCCAUCUUGAAAGAGGGCAAAGACACUCCUGACGCUCCCGGCCUUUCAGCUCGUUUCAAACGCCAGUGCCAUCUUGGAUCACGGUAAUCACCGCCUCUUUGCGCUCCGGGUUAUACUCUCUGGCGCCAUCUUGGAUUAUGUCAGAGUCACCUCCGUCGGUAGUCCAGCAGUUUCUAACAUCUGGAUGCUUUGUCGUCCUUGACUGUUUCUCCCCGUAUAAACUCUGUCUCCAUGAUGGAUCAAGAAAAUGAUGCUUUCCUUCUCCCUUUUCAUCUUCUUCCAGUGGGUGAUCGAACAACCUGCCAUUUUGGGUCAGGGUGAUUGACGCCGAUAUCGCUUCCCAUCAACCCCAGAGGCGGGAGAGGAAUACGCUUUUUGGCGGGUUCUCUUUGCUCCUGCACCAGCAGCCAGGUUGAAGGUUCAGCCUUCGAAAGUUUCUUCCCUGGCUUUUAAAUUUUAAGUUACUAGUACAGUGGAGAAGGUCAACGAGAAGUGUGCCCCUUUUUUUGACUAAAGUCGUACGUGUGGUCUAGGUUCCAGUGUCAUUUGGGAAGGUCUGGAAGGUUCAAGUGCAUCUUCCAGCCUGAAGCUCUGUGGGAUCACCUGUCGCCGAGGCGGGACGAGGACGAGGUAUUUAGGUGGUCAGCUAAGGGUGAGGUGCCGAGUGGAGCAAGAAACUUCCCACCUACAGUGAUCAAAAACAGAAGUGUUGGCUUACACGGAAAACCUGUCUGCUGAGGAGUAUAAUCAGUUCCUUGAGAGAGGAUAUUUCUGACACAUCUUAGCAUCUCUGACUACCAGAAGAAUAGGGGCUUACUUUCAGGAGCAGACGAGAAAACUGAAGCACAAACUACACAGCUCCAGUAGGAGGUGCAGCUGGAACCGACUCCCCUUGGCUGAUUAACCAGGUUUGCUAAGCCCUACCCUAGUCUCCUGUAGUGUUUGUCUUCAGUGAACAGGUCAGGUGCUUUCUGGAGAGAGAUUUGGGACUUCAUGGACCUUACAGAAUAGGUUGUAUGUCUACUUGUUAAUAAGUACUUGACGAACCUGGCCUGAGGCUCUCUUUCACUUUAACAUAGCACCUGGAAUAAGGUUGUGGAGAAGCCCUGUAACUCCACCUCUCUUAACUACUGGAGGCUACUAACGUCUGCCCAAAAGAAGCUACUAAGUGUGAAUGACCAAAUCGACAGGUUACUUUAUAAUUUUCUUCUUUCUUAGUUAUCUCCAACUAGAAGAACUCUAGUCCCAGAGUCCAAUAAUGUCAGGAUUUAUUACACACUUCCACGUGGUCACCACUGGGGCAACAACAGUUUCUGAUAUGAAGCCCUCCCUGCAGAAUGUCAGCAUUUGGAACACAGCAGGGCCUGCGGGCUAAGAUUUCAAACAAGCAGCAGUUAGAAAUUUUAAAGUUGUCUCCAAACAUUGUAGGUCUCCUGGCUGUCUCCAGUUCCAAUGAUCAAAGCCACUGAAGGUAAAUGAUUGUAGCUGUCAGAAUGGCCCCUCCCACUUCCCUUUUGGGUCACUGUCAAGGAAAUCCUACCCUAGUGACCCUGUCUCUCCUCUGCAUCUAUCUCAGAUGGCCCCAUUGGAUUCUCUUCUAACUCAGGUAGCUCCGGGUUCCAAAAACACCCGAGAUUGUUGUCCUGGCUGGUUGUUUCAUAUCACAAGUAAUCUGGUAAUUGCUUCUGAAUUGCAGGUCUACUUAGAUUUGGUGGUGAGGAGCAUAGAACUGGUACUUUUAAAAUGUCUUAAAAAGUGGAAAAUAUGUGUGAAUAUAAAUGGCUAAACACAAACUAUAACAUAUGUAUUGAGUCUAUAUUAUCAAUGUAAUUGGUGAAACUAUGGACCAUGCCCUCCAGACUGAUUUCACACAAACAAUUAAGUUUUAAUUUCACUGUAACUUGAAAAGUAAUAUGCAUGGUUCAGGUAAAAUUUGGAGUUCUCGUUUUUCCCUAGUCCAUCUGGAACAGCACUGAUAGAACUUUACAGAAAGUUUUAACCUGUGCUGUCUGAUCAGGUAGCCACUAGUCACAUGUGACUACUGAAUGCUUGAAAUGUGGUUAGCACAACUGAGGAACUGAAUUUGAAAUUUUAUUUAUUUUAAUUAACUUAAACUUAAAUAGUCACUUGUGACCGUGGCUACCAUAUUAGUCAUAAUGGAAGUAGAAUUUGAUGAUGACCUUAUAACAGGAUAGUCUAUUACGUUGCAGCCACAAAGUAACCUAAAAUCUUGGUGAUUUAUAAGAACCAAGGCUUAUUUCUUACUUGUGUUAUGUACCCAUUGGGGGUUGACUGGGGGCCCAGGCCGAUAAAGCAGUCACCAUCUUACAUGUUGCCAAUCAUAGGGGAGAGCCUUACACUAGCACUUAAGUGCUCUGGCCCAGAGGAGACACCCAUCACUUCUACUCACAGCUCACUGCCUGGCACAAGUCACAGCCCCAUUGAGCCAAGGACCCACAAUGCUGUGCCAGGGGGAAAAGAGCCUCUUUAAUGACUAGCAAGGAUGUUAGCCUCCCUUUCAAAAUACAGUGAAGGAGUUCCUACAGGGUAAAGACAGUAGUAUUACUUGUAUUUUCUUGAAAAUUGGAGAAUUGAGUUUCUCUAGAAUUCAAUUAUCCUUAAUCUCCUUGAUACUUAUUAGCUUUGAUUUAUUAAUAACCAGUAAGAUGUGAAAAGUAAAAUUCAAAACACUUUGAUUAAAAAGUAAAAGAGACUAUAUAAAGUU
Molecule: long non-coding RNA, 2739 nt
Organism: Lontra canadensis (Northern American river otter)
Lineage: Eukaryota; Metazoa; Chordata; Mammalia; Carnivora; Mustelidae
Exons: 3
Source: RefSeq, a predicted model, not a curated record